CGGGCCAGCAAAUCCCUCUUUUGGAGCCCAGCAAGCCUACAUAGAAGGGCUGCAAGAGACGAUUAAGAAGGGUGCUGGUCCAAAAAGGGCACCAGGAUACAAAUAAGCGCGGGGAGUAUGCUGCUCGGAUUCGAUUCAUCGUAUAAAAGAGAAUAAAUCUUGAAAAAAGCUUCUGCCCCGUUCGGAGGUGUUCAAGAUUCCGAGCCGUCAACCUGCUUCGAUCAUAUCGAAAGGGUGCAGAGCGAGCUGGUGGGGAGGAAGCGGGACGAGAUCCAGUCCAAGGAUGACGAUUCCCCUGUCGCCGUCGCAGGGAUUUCUGCACGAAAGGAGUGAUUUUUUACUUUGGGGUUCGUCCUCUAGAAGGCUGUUUGAGGAUCAAAGUUUUGAUCUUUUCUGCCUAUUUGUGCUUGUUUAGGAUGUGUUGAUUGGUUUCUUUGGUGGAGUGCCGGAUUGGUAUUUGUUGGGGUUGUUACCGUUAUUGUUUGUUAGAUCUUUUAUAAUGCUUGUGGUCAUUUUAUUUUACCAUCUUGCAUCUUUGGAUCUGUUAUUUCGAGGAGCUGAAAGGUAAUUGAAGACAUAUUGUAUGAUUGGGGUAUGGAAGACUAAAAGAAAAUGCUUUUCUAGGCUGUUUGAGUGAUAUUGCUAUAUGUCUUUAUGAGGCUUGAAGAAACUCUUGUAUAAGACAACAGUAAUCUUGCAAUGUUGCAGCAGUUAAAAGUGUUGG
This is a non-coding RNA of Phoenix dactylifera (date palm), 724 nucleotides long. NCBI's taxonomy places the organism in Eukaryota, Viridiplantae, Streptophyta, Magnoliopsida, Arecales, Arecaceae. The record is from RefSeq and is a predicted model, not a curated record.